RNA transcript from Miniopterus natalensis, 1252 nucleotides. It is a transcript of the gene named HscB mitochondrial iron-sulfur cluster cochaperone, with no coding region annotated. NCBI's taxonomy places the organism in Eukaryota, Metazoa, Chordata, Mammalia, Chiroptera, Miniopteridae. The record is from RefSeq and is a predicted model, not a curated record.
AUGUGGGGCGGGAGGAGCGGGGCCUUGCCCCGGGUGUGGGGGUUGUGGCUGACAGGGGUCCUCGGAAGGCGACCGCUAAGCGGCAAUGCUGCGUCGCUAGCCGGAAGCAACUCCCCCCAGUGUUGGAACUGCGGCGGCCCAGGGGGUCCCAUUCGGGGGGACGGGUUCUUCUGCCCACAGUGCCGGGCGCUGCAGCCGCCUGACCCCACUCGAGACCACUUCAGCCUCAUGGACUGCAAUCGUUCCUUCAAAGUUGAUACUGCAAAGCUCCAGCAUAGGUACCAGCAACUACAGCGUCUUGUCCAUCCAGAUUUCUUUGGCCAGCGGUCUCAGACUGAAAAGGACUUCUCAGAGAAGCAUUCGACCCUGGUGAAUGACGCCUAUAAGACCCUUCUGGCCCCCCUGAGCAGGGGACUAUACCUUCUAAAGCUCCAUGGAGUAGAGAUUCCUGAAGGAACAGAUUAUGAAAUGGACAGGCAAUUCCUCAUGGAAAUAAUGGAUAUCAAUGAAAAACUCGCAGAAGCUCAAAGUGAAGCUGCCAUGAAAGAGAUUGAAUAUAUUGUAAGAGCUAAACAGGAAGAAUUGACUGACUGUGUGAGCAGAGCUUUUGAACAAGAUGAAGAAACAAGUUCCCAGAAGAGAAGUGGGGAAACAUCACUAGGACCUCAUGGAUCUCCUGCUCACAAUAGCACACACCAGUAGCAGACAAGGUGGUUUGAAUUGCAAACUUCCUUAAGCCACCUUGGUUGUGCAUAACUAUCAGGUUCCUCUCCGUAUCACAAACCACUAAGUGUAUGAGACCAUUGUGAGGGCAACGGACAUGGAGAAAGAUGACCUGGAAGCAUUUCGCAAGGAAAGCCCGUGGGACUCGCUGACUGAUUAAACCCAGGGGCGAGCAGGACAGAGGCCUCCCUUAGGUUUUUGGUGAGAAAGAGAAAAGCAUCACCCGGCAGCUGCAGCCAGCAGUCAGGUGGGAUCUGGUGUCUUCCUUUUCAACAAUUUCACAGAAUGUCAACAUCAAACAGGGACCAAGAUGUGGCUUUGACGGAUCAAGAUAAAAGCAAGACUCCUUUGCAGCCUGAGUACACACAAAAAUGUGCACUUUGUCUCAACCACGAAAAUGACCAAAUAUCCCCGAUCCCGGCCAACAGGAAGGACUGUUGCUUCCUUGCCAAUUACGGGGUUAGCUGACUUUCAUUCCUCGCACCUUCUAGAAAAGAUUGACUAAAGAUACCCAGUCAGAGAAUUGUCC